RNAcentral lists this long non-coding RNA (1143 nucleotides) under Olea europaea (common olive). Its description in RNAcentral is "long non-coding RNA (OEUR_LNC003428)". The record is from RNAcentral. Lineage: Eukaryota; Viridiplantae; Streptophyta; Magnoliopsida; Lamiales; Oleaceae.
UGAAAUUGAAACUAUGUUGUUGCGCAGGUGAUUCAAAGAACGUUUGCCCAUCUCUGACCACAAUGAAUCCACUGUCUCCAAGAUUGAUAGCAUUUAGACCCUGUUCAAGGCAACAUAAUUGUACAACUAUCAGAAACAAAUUAUGACAUUCUCAUAAGAGAUUUUUAUAGGAAAAUAUCUGGGUGUAUAGAAAAUUUUUCAUAGACUAUAUACAGAAUAGACAGGUGGGUGGGUCCCAUGUUGUAUAAAAAAUGCCAAAAAUGUGUGUGAGCCACAGAACUGUGAGUUUUCUUUAUAUAUUCUGGCAAAAAUCCUUCUGUACGUGUAGAAGGGUUGUUUUUCUAGAUAUAUUGCAGAACAAAUGAAGAUUCCAAGAACAGAUCAUAAAGAUUGAUAGCAUUUAUACCCUGUUCAGGGCAACAUAAUUGUACAACUGUCAGAAACAAAUUAUGACAUUCUCAUAAGAGAUUUUUAUAGGAAAAAAUCUAGGUGUAUAGAAAAUUUUUCACAUACUGUGUACAAAAUAGAGACAGGUGUGUGGGCCCCAGAACUGUGAGUUCUCUUUAUGUAUUCUGGCAAAAAUCCUUUUGUACGUGUAGAAGGAUUGUUUUUCUAGAUAUAUUGCAGAACAAAUGAAGAUUCCAAGAACAGACCAUUAACAUUUUCAAUGCAAUGAUUGUACAACUAUCAGAAACAUAAUUGUACAACAUAAUUAUACAACUAUCAGAAACAAAUUAUGACAUUCUCAUAAGAGAUUUUUAUAGGAAAAAAUUUGGGUGUAUAGAAAAUUUUUCACAGACUGUAUACAGAAUAGAGAUUGGUGGGUGGGCCCCAUGUUGUAUGAAAAAUACCAAAAAUGUGUGUGAACCCCAGAACUGUGAGUUUUCUUUAUGUAUUCUGGCAAAAAUCCUUCUGUACGUGUAGAAGGGUUGUUUUUCUAGAUAUAUUGCAGAACAAAUGAAGAUUCCAAGAACAGAUCAUAAAGAUUGAUAGCAUUUAGACCCUGUUUAGGGCAACAUAAUUGUACAACGGUCAGAAACAAACUAUGACAUUCUCAUAAGAGAUUUUUAUAGGAAAAAAUCUGGGUGUAUAGAAAAUUUUUCACAGACUGUGUACAGAAUAGAGACAGGUGUGUGGACCCCA